AGAGUUUGAUCAUGGCUCAGGAUGAACGCUGGCGGCGCGCCUAACACAUGCAAGUCGAGCGAGAGAUGAGGAGCUUGCUCUUCAAAUCGAGUGGCGAACGGGUGAGUAACGCGUGAGGAACCUGCCUCAAAGAGGGGGACAACAGUUGGAAACGACUGCUAAUACCGCAUAAGCCCACGGCUCGGCAUCGAGCAGAGGGAAAAGGAGUGAUCCGCUUUGAGAUGGCCUCGCGUCCGAUUAGCUAGUUGGUGAGGUAACGGCCCACCAAGGCAACGAUCGGUAGCCGGACUGAGAGGUUGAACGGCCACAUUGGGACUGAGACACGGCCCAGACUCCUACGGGAGGCAGCA
RNAcentral lists this ribosomal RNA (350 nucleotides) under uncultured bacterium. RNAcentral describes it as "bacterial SSU rRNA". It matches the Rfam family "Bacterial small subunit ribosomal RNA", at positions 8 to 353 of the family's 1533-position model. The record is from RNAcentral.